CCAUGGGACCUGAGAAGACUUGCCUGGAGUUGUGAUAUGUAGCAUGCUUAAGGAAGACUUAUUUAUUUUAUUUUAUGUGGAUGAGUGCCGUGCUUGCGUGUAUGUCUGUGAACUUUCUGUGUUCCUGGUACCUGUAGAGGUCACAACAGGGCAUUGGAUUCUUUGGAACUGAAAGUAGAGACAGUGUGAGUCACCAUGUGGGUCCUCUGCAAGAACAGCAAAUGCUCUUUUAACUGGUGAUUUAAAACAAAACAAAAAACCAACAAAACCAAUAAUAACAAAAUUACUUUUCUUUGUGUGGCAGAACUCUAGAUAUGCUGAACAUAGGUUCUUGACUCCUUUGGUUUGAGAUUGUGGUUGGUAGAGCCCUAAAUUGUUCAUGUCUUUAAAGAAUUAUUGUUGUGUGAGCUUUCCUUUUCCAACAUAUGGAAAUUAGUAGUUUCUGAGGAUUCUCUAGGAGCAUCUAAAUCUCUAAACAAAUAUGUUAAGAUUGAAAAUUCAAUUGCCCAUUACUCUGUAUUGAAAUGGACACUAUUAUAGGUAGUGGUGAAUAUCAUAUGCCAUACAUAAGGCUUGAAUUAACAAAUAGCACUAGUUAGUAGUAGACCAACUUAAAUAAUUAAGAUGUCAUAGAAAUUUGCAUAGUUAAAAAUGAAAGUCCUUUAUAAUUCUGUCUUGCAGAAAUAACCACUUUUUCAUAUUUUGUUCUAGACUUUUUCAUAUGCAGCUACUCCCAUUUUGUUAUUGCCAUUAUUAACACUAUAAGAGAAUAAUAGGCAAAAGAAUGCUCACUGGAGUAAUUGAGUUAAAGCCUGGAAGCAGCUCAGUGUCGUCUGGGGAGUGAAAUGUGAACCACAUACAGGCCUUCAGUGGGCAGCAGACGUCAGUAGAUCCUUGUGUGCGCUUUCAAUCAUGUGCAAGAGUCAGACUGCCGGGAGCUUGGGGGGGAGCAGUGUGUAAAACACCACAGAGAACACAUGUACACACAUUUAUUUUGAGAAGGUGUUAAAUUUUAAAGAUCUGAAGUGUGUACAUAGAAAUGUGUGAAUACAUUUUAACCCAAGAUAAAGAGUCAACUGCUUCGCCGCCUCCUUGUGCAGAUUCUGAAAGCCUCACAGAGCAUAGAACACUGUGUCAUGUGGUCGUGUGGAAUCUUUCCACUGCCAGCAGUGGGUCCAUGCUCAGACAGAGCAGGAGCUUAGAGCCUACUUGUCAUUCAUUUGACAAGUGAGUAGAAGGAAGCUUUGGGUUGGGUUGGUGUCCUCCCUGGCCUUCAGCAUAGGAUUUGAAUUUUUUUGUCCUUCAUCCCCCAGCUGAUGAUUUUGAAUUUAGUCUAUCCAUACAACAUACAGAAAAAGAAUAUAAGCUAUUGAUUAUGUCCACCAUUUUUAAGGAACUAGAUAAAGCGUUAUCACUUAAAAAAUUGAGAUAUAAUUAACACUUCCAGAAGACUGUGUGUGUCUUUAUAGUGACUUCCUAUGAAACACUUUAUAAUUAUUUAAUUACUUUAGGUUGAUGGAGUGUAUAUAAUUAGUGAAGUUUAAAUAUUAAAAAAAAUCCACAUCAGUUUCAUGAAGAAAAGAAGCAUGUUAUGAUAGCAUUUUUUUUAUAUCUUGAAAUUAUAUUUUCUUUAAUUAAAUUUUAUGUUCACACGGAUUUGGGGGGUGGUCCAAUUCGUGUUUACUUUGCGAACUGUAUUUCAGGAGUUCUUUAUUACCACAUGGUGCAGGCUUUUUCUUUGAGUAAUUCACCAUGCUAGUAUGUGCCUUUCCUUUCAUGAUUUGACUCCCAUGUGCUCUGCUCUGGCCGUGAAAGGGAAAGGGCCGAGGAGAUGAACAAACAGGAAUGUGAGGGCCCCUCCAUGCCUCAGGUGGGAUGGAGUUGGCACCUAGCUGUAACCUGGACAAAUGACUCUUGAUAAGGGGUUCAUUUUCUGUCACCGUUUUAGAGAGCAGAGGGUAGAGCAGCUAUUAUGUUAUUAUUUUUUUCUUUAAAAAUGUUUUGUUUGAAGCUUUCUUUAUAACAACCCUCCAGCUGUCAAAUCUUGGCGAAAAGUGUGUGUUCUAUAUGAUACUUGACUGAAUCAAUAGCUUUCCCCACCUUCUUCCUUUUUUGUUCUUCAUCAGCGAAGAAACUUUAGCACAAGCAUUAAGAAAGCUUUCCGUUCAGUCUUCUAAAAGCGGCAUCUUCGAGUAGCAGUGCAUUUAGGCAUUGGUGUGUCUGUUGCCUAAGUUUGAGUGAAGGCUUAUUGUAAGCUUUUCUUCAGAGUGGUUCUCCAUACUCCUACAUUGUCACCUGCACAAGUCCUGAUGGCCUAGGUUUUUCUUUUUCCUCAAAUGCACACAGAAUUGUCUACCAGUUCUCAAGUGUAUGAGAUCCAAACAAAGAUACACAGACAAGUAAAUUUCAAAUACAUAUGUUUGAGGACAUUGAAAUUAAUUUCCAAAAAGUGAUAUAUUUCUUUGUAGAAUUAUUAUAACUCCACAUACUAGUUCUUAAUUGAUGCAGAGUAUUGAAUGUUCUAAUGACAUGUGCACUGUGUAAUGUUCAGCCAUGUUGCGCCCUGCUCUCUUCUCAAGUGUCCCUAUUUCUGUGUGGUGAAAAUGGUCAACUCUUUAAGUGCAAUCUUUUCCUUGAGCAAAUUUUAAAGCUCAUUCAAAACCAGAGACAAUCCAGGAAUACGCACUUGUAUCUGUGCUCUGCCAGGUCUGAGUGGUGAGGAGAAGCAAGAAAUAGUCAACAGGCUGGUGAACUGUGCAGCAGAGCUGUCUUCUGUCAGGACAGCUUAACUCAUCACCUUAUUUCAGGGAGAUUUCUUUGGACCAAAAGAUCAAAUCUUAACUGUGGUUAACUUGGGAAGCCUGAUAGUUCAAAAAGGAAGACAGAAAAACCACUAGCUAGGGAAAAUUGGAACUGGCUAAGACUGCAGGAGAAAGGAAGCCAUUUCUCAGCAGGAGACACAGAUGAGGGCUCCUUAAAGGGAAGUGGGUGGUAGAAUCUACCUGAGUUGAAGAUGCCGUUGAUUUCAAGAUGUUCUACUGAGAAAAGAAAAUGGCUGCAGAUUAUGAUCCAAUGUUUCAUCUCUUUGAUUUUCUUAUUAAAAUACCUCAUUAAGACUAAUUUUGAAAAAAAAAUUCUUCCUGUAAGCAAAAUAAACUGGUUAAGGUGGUGGUUCUUAACUGGGGGGCAUUUUGGUCUCCAGGGGACAUUUGACAAUGUUUAGAGACAUUUUUGGCUGUCACACCUGUCAAAUCAUAUCUAGUAGAUGGUACCCAAGAUGCUGCUAAAGAUCAUGUAAUUCUUAAGAUGGGCUCUUUGCUACCUUUUGUCCCCGACAAAAAGCAUUUCAUGGCUAAAAUGCCAGUUGUGCCAACAGUGAGGUCCCAGGAUUCAAGCCUCUUUCAGGCCUUUGCACACUGGGCUUCACUCCUUCCAUUCAUUUGCUCAGUCCUGAUGUCCUGGUUUUCCCAUGUAGUAUCAUAUUCAGCAUCCUCAAAACCGUGGCAACAUAGCAUUCCUUAAGGGAUUGCUCCACUGCCACUUCUGGGAGUUUUCCAAGCUGCUGACACCACUUCUGCAAAUUUUGAUGCUCUGUGCAGGCGAUGACACCCGAGGCAGGACUGCCUCUCUGCAGUCAGGAGGUACAUUAGGCAUGUGAGAGUGUGGAAAAAUAUGUGUUGGUAAAAUCAGCCCAUCUGCAGGCCAGACUAUGAGAUCCAUCAGAUUGCAUGGCACCUUGGCAGGCUUGCCCUGCCUUCCUCCCAGAGCAGAUGCCCUUUCUCUGCUGUUCUGACUAGUCAUGGCACACACAUUUAGACAAAGUCAUGUAAGCUGAAGAGAUUUCUAGCCACUCAGAAUUUACCCCCACUUCUUUUAGGUUCUGUUCCUUUGUGCUGGCUUUCCCCAUGAGACAUUUCUUGUUAGUACCAUAGUGACAGCAGAGCUGAGUACAAGUUUUGCAGCAACCUGUGUUAUAUUCUAAUUAAAACCAAAACCAAACAACCACAUCUGAACAUGGACUUUCCAUUCACUGUACUGUGGAUCUGUGGGCACUGGGGUAGUUUUCUGAUCAUGCUUCUAAAUUACAGAUGAUGAGCCUCCAUGCUUAAAUUCUUUUGUCUAAUUUGCAUGAGCUCAUUAAAACAUCUAAUAGAUGCAACAGUCAUUUGGUCUGCUGCUGAGGGUCCACAGGAGCCAGCCUGUUUUUCCUGGGACAGUCUGUUGUGUAUGUAGGCUGAGGUUGGCCAUACUGCUUUGGCAGCUACCGCACACCAAUGUCACAAGGGCACAACACACAAGGACAGGCUACAGUUUGAACACAAUCUUCUAAGAUGUGGUUUACUUCCCCUCGUCCUGCCUCCAAAAGCCAAUCUCUGACAGCAAGAAAAAUGUGACUACUCCUGACCUUUGACCCUUGGCAUUCAAAUUUCACCUCUUUACCUAUAAAGGCAAGUGAAAGUGUUUUGCUUUAAUAACCUUUCUUCAAGAAAUCAGGAAGGAAAAAGGAGUCGGCAUCCAGUUGUGAAGCUAGCUGUCUGUCAACUGAGAGACUCCCUGCCUGCUAUUUUUAAAUGGCUAUCAGUUGAGAUUUGUCCUCAGUUUUAGUAAUUUGGAAAAUUAUAUUAGAUCCAUUGGAGCUUAAUUUAGUUAAAUAAAUUAAUCAUAAAUUUUAUCAGUUGUCUCCUUGAAAGCAUAACAUAGUUCACUUACUUUUCCCAUUGAUAGUGGUAUGGAAGCCAGAAUUGGGACAUGAGACAUUCUUGUAUCUUUUAGUUCAUUGUGAUAGUGAAACUCAUGGUAAUGUUACGUUCUGUCUAAACCCAUUCUGUUUAAUAUGUUCUGACUUUAUUAUCAGAUACAUCCAGCCUUUGGAGGAAAAAGGUGAAAGACAGGGGAGGGAAGAGUUGGCUAGACAAACAGAUUUGUGAGUUAUGGCCAUGUUUAAGCUAUGUAAGUAGUCAUGUACUAAAGUUCUAUCUCUAAAAUCAGAAAAUACUCACAGAUAGUUUUCAAUGGAAUGAAUCACCAGGCCUGGAAAAUACUGACUAGAACUGUCUUUCUGGAAGAGACAGGGCUUGAAUAUAGUUUGUCCCCCAAAGUUCCUGUGUUGGAGACUUGGCUUCUGAUGUUGUAAGGUGGGAGGUGACAGAAGCUUUGAGAGGGACCUAGAAAAAUAUAUGUGCAUAGGCUGUGGACAGCAGGGAGGUACUGCCCCUCACAUCCUGAGAAUAACUAAGGUGGUCUCAUGGGACCCAUGGUGGCUUGCAGCAGUGAGCUGCUGUGAAAUCCAACCAGGCCAGGCUGCUCUCUGUGACCUCACUGUUUCAUGUAUGUUCUUUCUGAGAUGGUGUCAGCAGUAGCUUUAGUGCAAUGAAGUUAAGUUGGGUGCUGUGGCCUUGAAUCUCCAGAACUAUUAGCCAACAUAACAUCUUUUCUUUUUAUUGAUUGAUUGAUUGAUUGAUUGGUCUUUUCGAGACAGGGCAUUUAUUGAUUGAUUGAUUGAUUGAUUGAUUGGUUUUUUCGAGACAGGGUUUCUCUGUAUAGCCCUGGCUGUCCUGGAACUCAUUUUGUAGACCAGGCCGGCCUCGAACUCAGAAAUCUGCCUGCCUCUGCCUUCUGAUUAAAGGAUUAAAGGCGUGCGCCACCAUGCCCGGCAAAGCAUCUUUUCUUAAUAAAGUGGGCUUGCUGCAGAUUAUUUUUUUAAUAUUUGUGAAAAGUUACUAAUAUUAAUGCAUGUGGCUGAGUAUUGCAUAGUUAUAUCUUAUAUUAAAUAAAAGAAAAAUUAAAUUGUAUCUUUAUAAUUUUAUAUUACCCAAUGACUACAAAUUUUUAUUUUAAUUUAGUGUAAUAUUCAUACUCUUUCUGUCAUAUGCAAGUUAUAAGAUUAUAAAAACUACGACUUCAACGUAUAUGCAGUUUAUAGAUAUGUAGUAAGUCAAAGACAAUAAGAAGCUCUGAGGGCUAUUAAUGUUGAGGACUAGUACUUACAAGACCUAUCUAUCAUAAAAAGAGUUUGGCUAUAAACUUAAGCAAUCUGUAGCAAGUAGUUUUUCAUGUCAGUCACGCUGGCAUGGACAAAGAAACAGUUGUUACUAUUCAGAGGCUCAGGGAAGACCUGGGUCAGUGUAGCAGCUGUGUACUGUAUCCCCUGUGUCUGGCCACUUUGAGCAUGUGGCUGAUUUGUUAGACAUGGAGCCCUCUUUGUGCACAAUGCCAGACCCUCCUGGGCAUAGAGGCUGCUCCUGUAGAUCACUGCUCUGCUUAGUCUCAUUGUUACCUGGUUCUUUUUUCCCUGCAUUGCUGUACUUUUAUCCUGACACAUUUCCACUCUGCUUCAAGGUAGGUACUGCUUUCCAAGUGCCGGGGACGGUCCUGUCCCAGUGUCAGGUAGUCUGCUAGGACUCCCACAGAUUGCUCAUGUUCUAGCUGUUGGGAUCUUGGCCAGUUGCCGCUGCCAUCUUUUCUCCUCAGCGACACUUGUUUUUAACAGACAGUUGCCUUUCCACAGUUACAGUUGGGUAGAUAGUCCACUCUUGAGCCUUGUGCAUAGCUCUUCCUUCUUUCCAGACUCAGUUUCUCUUCUGUUGCUGCUCUGCUGCUCAGGAACCCUACUCUGAGUCCCAUUUCAGAAGCUGUUUCAUAAGGCAAGAAUCUCGAAGCCAGAAAACCAAAGCCAAUCAAGCAUGCCAUCACAAUCUGUAACUUUUUUACUUGUAAUUGCAGCCGUGAUGUUCAGCCACGUAUUAUUCAGAUGUUUCUCUUGACAGUAAUUACAGCAUUUUCUCUCAUGUAGCAUAGUGCUUGAAGUAAUUUUUGCUGAAACUGGUUUCUCAGUGGGAAUGUCUGGGAAAUCAUCUGUGUUCUGUUGUCGUUCAUGUUGAAGCGUCUCCAUUAUCUGGAACAGCCCAGCUUUUCUUUCUUUGGUGGGAGAGGGAGUAGUAAGGUACUCUACUUCUUACUCUGUUAAUGGUUAUCCAAAGCAUCGUUAUCCAGAGCCGGGUGAGAACUGGACUUCAGACAGUGUACUCAGUUCACUGCUGAGGUGAUGGUCGCCCAUUGGUUCUUGUCAGCAUUUAAAAACAUACUCAGAGGAAAUCCAGUGUGCAGGCGAUGCAGGCGAUGCAGGCGAUGCAGGCGAUGCAGGCGAUGCAGGCGAUGAUGCAGGCGAUGCAGGCGAUGCAGGCGAUGCAGGCGAUGAUGCAGGCGAUGCAGGCGAUGCAGGCGAUGAUGCAGGCGAUGCAGGCGAUGCAGGCGAUGCAGGCGACGCAGGCGAUGCAGGCGAUGCAGGCCGGCUGGAGCUAGUGGGGUGACUUUGUCUACUCAGCUCUUCGUAGGACAGAAUGAGGCUCCUUCAUCUUUGCAGGCUUGGUGUUUUGUUCAGGAAACACAUUUACAAUACGAAGAACAAAUAUGUUCCUAUCCAAAGAGCUUUCGCUCAUCCCUCGUUAGUUUUAGAAGGUGGUUGAGCUGUGACCAGUUUCUUUAAGUCUAGAAGUCCGUCUUUGCAGGCAGUAGUCCACAUAAGCUGGGCCUAGCCCUGCUGAUUGAUCUCAGUUCUGGGCCAUCUGCUGGGCCUGCUGGUGAUACUGGGUUAGAAGUGUCAAAAAGCUUGACAUCUUUGACUGUUUUACUCUGGAGGGAUGGUCUGAGUGGGCCACUGCUUCCACCUUUCCUCUCCUGAUCUUUUGGGGUUUUUUUUUUUUUUUUGUGAGCUGAGCUCUGAAUGGAAAAGGAGUUCAGGUGACUUAGCUGUAAGUCACAUGCCAAUUUCAUCUAACCUUAGGCUUACAUUUCUAAACACUGGCUUUUAUCCCCCAGUUGAAGUAGUGUCUGUUUCCCUCAUCUCAGCCCUGUCUAGACUGUAAGUCACUAUUCUAUGCUGGGUUGUGUCGAUUCCUUUAGUAAGGGUGGCAAUUUGAAUUUCUUGUUAGUUCUUUAACUUAAUAUUGUGACUGCUUUCUAAAUAGCCUAGUGGAGAAUAUGCUGAAGGAGCCAGUCCCCUGCUUUGUGAGCUUGAGAGACCAGGACGUACUUCCGGUCAGUGAGGUGCUCACAUACACCCGGUAGUGUUCUGUGUGUGGAGCAACUCAGGUGCCUGUGUGUGUGGAGGGGAGGGGCCACUUCUCCUCAGGAGGCGGGGCUGUGUGAUGCUUAUUUCCACCAGCAGUAGCCAAUCUCAUGAGAGCAGAAAUCUCCUCUUGCAUUUAUUUCUCCUCUAUAUUCAUUCUUAGACUUUGGGGAGAACACCCCCUCCCACAAAAAAAAAAAAAAAAAAAAAAAAAAGCCCCAGGAAUUAAGGAAAAGGCCCAAUGGCUUGCUGCUUUGUGUUGGUUGAUGCUUGCUGUGUGGACUCAGACUUAUGGUGCUCGCCUCUACUGUGUGCUUGCUCUUCAUGUCAAGGCUGUCACAGCCAGUUCACAAACUUAGUUUGUUAAUCACUUAGAAAGUUAGCUGCUGGGCCAGUUUGCCUUUGAAAUGAGAAUAUUGAAUCCCUCCAUCGAAGUAUGUGUAGCUUCCACGAGAGCAAUUUAUUAGUUAUUCACUAUUUACAGUUGCUUCCUUCUACAGGAACUAUCUAGAGCCUCCAGGCUUCAGCUAUUUCAUUUGGAGAGGUUUUCAAUUUGCCUCAUUAAAAUGGUUUUAGUGUGAUUUUAGUGUCAAGUAUCAAGUAGAAAAAUGAAAGUUGGCCAUGUAAAUAUUUCAACUAACAAUUUAAAAUCAGGUUCCAACAUGAAUUCUCAAAUCAUAUCGUUUAGCGUUCCCAUUGCCUAUCUCCCAUUUGUGAAAGCUGAUUCUAUCAAAACAAAAGUCUCUUAAAAACCAAGAAUUUACAUUUCAUCGUCUCCCUGGUGGGGUUGAUGGAUUAAAACCAAACCACAUCAAAACAAUACCAAAAAAAAAAAAAUCACUGAAACCACCAAUUUAAUGUGAGAAAUGUCUACUAAUUAAAAAACCAUUAUCUAACUGAGUUUCUGUGACUCUUUUAUUAUUUCUACAGAACCAAAUUGCUUUGACUAAGAAAGGUCAUUUCUCAAAGUACUGAAAACAUAGAUAAUAUUGGUUUGUAGAAAAAUUACCAAAGAAAUAUGCCUCAUCUUCACUGCCUUGUUCUUCUCCCAUAAAACCACUCAUAAGUCUUAUCCCAGGGGUGAUGUAGUCUUGUGUUUAAAGGUAACAAGUGUGACUUUAUAUAGCUAGCUAUUUUUCCUAUUCAGUCUCUAGAGAUCUCAAGUAGACUUUAAUUUGGAUAAUAAAAACUGUUUAAGAAUAGGUUCCCAUACAGGCAUGGCAGUUGAUACCUGCCUGUAGUCUUAGUACUAGAGGCAUGAGGACUACAAAUUCAAGGCUAGAUCGUACCCAGUGAGAUUGCAUUUCUGAACAGACAGGCAAGCAAGACACUCACUUGUGUGGAUUAGUACUCAUAGUUUGAGACACUGCUUAUCCAAACAUUUUGUAUGCACCUGUUGAUGGCUUUGUCCUUGUAUUCCUGUAGGCUGCUUCUGACUUGCUGGUCUCCUCACUUUGCGGAUGAAAUGGCUAAAGCAUAGAGUCCACUUGCUCAAUAGUCCAAGUUGCCAGAAGGGGUAAGAGUUGGGCUGUAGCCCACCCUUCCUCCCCUGGGCUGCAUUGUAGGUGCUGGGUUGACUUCUGGUCCCACAGCAGAGCUUCCUUUGAUGUUUCUGUUUGCAUGUUCCACCUGUGGGCUACCUUCGAGGAUGUUUUAUACUGCACUGUGCAGGAUUUAGCAUGGUCAGUUCUGCUGAUUAUGAAGCUCAAGAACUAAGAGUUUAGUUCUAAAAGAUUUGUAAAGAGGAGGACUUUUUCAGUGUUUUUGUUUUUUAAUUCACAUGACUAUAUUUUGAAAUGAAACUGUCAAAAUACUGUCAUAGUGGGUAAAGAUUAAUAUUUCUGUAGAUUUUCUUGGAAAUUGUGCAUUUCUUUAUAAAUAUAUCUGUCAACUGUGCAAAUCUGUUUUUAUAGAAUUAAAGAAGCCCUUAUCCAAGUGAGUCUUGGAAAGGUCUUUCUUCUAGCUGAUGAAAAUAUGAAUAAUGUUAGUUUAACAAAAUUAUUUAACUAAUUAUUCUUGAUUCCUUUUUCCUGCUUUAUGUCCUUGCAUCUUCUUUCUGAUUAACGGAGCCCGGAACUGUUGUGCCUUCCGGUACAUGACAGUCUAUCUACCACUCACCAUUUUCAUCCUGCCUGGUUCUUACUGUGUGGGGAUCUCCUCUCUUUCCUCAUGGGACUUUGAAGUUGCUACAGCCUACCAUAGAGCGGUAGAGGGUAGCCAUGUUGCUUUUACACACACAACUGCUUUUCAUCAAGACCUGUCCUCACGAGGGCAGCUAGCGUUAGUGCUCGGGUGGAGAAGUGCUGCUUCAUUGCCAUUUCUUACUUUCAUGGUCACUUUAGGGAGCCGAUGGGCCUGGCUUCUCCUCUUUCCUCCCUUCUCCAGUCCUCCCCUCCCACUCCUUCCCUUUCUUCUCUCUCUUUCUCUGCAAAGUAGUUUUUAAAAUGUAGUUUUAAUCUUGUUUGUGUCUUUGAUUAAAACAUUUCUAAUGGCUUUUAAUUAGCAUCUGCCUCAAGUCCGAGCCCUUUCCUUUGGUGUUUUGGCUUAGCCUGACUUUAUCCAGUGCUUCUCUGCCCUCUCCUUGAACACUCUAGUCACAUCUGAUGCUGGGCUUGUGUGUGCCCACAGCUCAGUGCUCAGAGUACUUAGGUCCCAUGUUUUGCAUGGUGGGUUCCCUCUUACUCUCAGCUGCAUAGAGAGGCUUGAGUCAUCGCUGUCUGAAGUACUCCGUCUCAGCAGCUUGUCUUGCUGCCCUCCUCCUUAGGCUCCCUCAUUUUUGCUUUAUGUUUCUUUGCAUUACUGUGUCUGUUUAUUGUGUAUGUGGGCAAAACUCAUCAUCUGUCAUUUGGUAGAUAUCCAAAAAUAUUUGCCAGAUUAUAAUGAUACUUGCUAUGGCUAACUUUGCUGCUUCUUCUAAGCUGGCUGGCCUGUAAGCUCUGGGCUCACAGACUGUGCAUGGCUCUUAGGUAGGUACUGGGAAUCUGAAGUCAGGCCUUCAUACUUGACAGCAAUGGCAAGUACUUCAUGUACAGAACAUUUUCCAGCUUGUUUUGUUUUGUUCUUCUAGAAAACACUUUGUAAAAGUGAAAACCUAACAGAAUGAGAGUAUCUUCCCCCUUCCCCCUUUUUGACUUAAAUUUGGCCUCAAGCCUAUUUAAACUCUGUAACUCUGUAAAACAUACAGUGUAUUAUGUGCAAGACUGUAUCGAAGCAUGCAUUCUGCAAGGUUGUGAACCAUCUCAAGUUGGGACAGUGUCAGGAACUGUCUUUUUUAGCUGGGCACAUAGUUGUAGUUUCUCCCUGUGGGCCAGCUCUCCCUCUGCACUGUGGCUUUCCAGGUCGAGAGGAACUUGAGUUUGUAUUGCAGAUCUCUGCAUUUUUGGCUGCUUUGCUGAAAGUUUUUGCUGCAACUUGGAAGAUGGUGUCUUUCUUCAUCACCCUGCUCUCCUCAACCUCUCUGGCUUCUGGAAUCUGUCGCUCCAAGGCUCCAGGGAAGGCUGUACCUACCCACCAUGGCCCUGUGGUACAUAAUAGCUGUGCUGUGUAUGCUCCAUGCCCUUUAGUAUGUCCCCAGCUCUGUGCCAUUAAGUCCCCUGGUCAUGUCUGUGGGAGGGAGCUGAUUUUGUUUUCUUUUUCUUUUCAUUUCCCAGUAGCUUGUCACAGGAGUGACUCACACCCAGCAAACUCAGCCUUAGAUAGCUUUCUGCAGACAGGAACAACAAAUUCACCAGUCAGGGAACAAAGUGAAAGAAAAAUGAAGAACAAUAUUAGAAAAGAACCCUUUGGGAAGCUGAACAAAAAAUGUUAUAUUAAAAUCAAUACUGGGGCCUGACCUUUUGUGGUACUGUAUAUUUUAAAGCCUCCUAUUGAUUCUCUUUUAAUAACAUGUUUAUUCUACUUUACUGACACAAGCCUAGAGAGACUAUAAACGGGGAAGAUCAUAUUCUUUAUUAUGGUGGCCAUUUAAAUUUCUCUCUGGCAUUAUUUGAUUGUUCCAUGGAAUUACGUGCAUAUAUUUAACAUAUUCUGAUUUUUGAAAGACUCAGAGGCUGUGAAGCACUUUUCCUUUUGUUAAAAGUACCCUCAUCACUGCAGUGACAGAUGUGUAUAGAACCCUCCGUACCAACUAGGAAUAUUCUUUUAGCUUUUGCGUGCGUUUAAAAGACUGAAACAACUCAUUUUGCUUGAAUUGAACCCCUAUCUCCCAAAUCUAUUGAUUCGCACCCCCCCCCCCACCUCAGGCCCCGUACAUUUGGUGACAGUUGUAUGCAUAGAGACAGUUGUCAUUUUGUUUUGUUUUGUUUGUUUGUUUGUUUUUUCUCUGUGUGCCCUGGGUGUCUUGGGACUUAAUCUAUGAACCAGGUUGGCCUUGAACUCAUAGAGAUCAGCCUAUGUUUACCUCGAGUGCUAGGAUUAAAUGGGUGUGCCACCACCACCUGGCAAGACAGCUGCCACUUACUGUAUGGCUGGUGGCAAAAUGUCAAAGGAUGUGAAAUCUCCUUAGAGAUUUGUGUUUUCUUUUGAUCCUUCACACAUUGUUUUCAUGGUAUGGAGUGCUCCACCCAGGCAGGCGGCUCUCCGGGAGGUUAUCUAGGCUUCUAGUUUGUGAUCUUCCUUCUAUUUUUUCCUAUUAGGAAAACAAACAAUCUAAACAACAGGUAUUAAUUUUCUUCCCUCUUUGGAAUGAUUGCUUUUCCACAUACAGAUUCUGAGUCCCACCCAGCACAGCAGCAAGGACUCACUCCUGGAGAGGUUCUCUGGCCAAUGGCACAUUAAAGGGGAUUGACUUAGCCUGUGGAACAUCAUGUUAAUAGGCUUAGAGAAAAGGAGGAUGUUUGGAUCUGACUCCUAGAUUUAAUGCAACAGCCCUGUUUGUGGCAUCUCUGAUACAGGCUGAGAAACCAGAUAGCAGUUCCAGGAAGGCAGUAACGGAGCAGAGGCCUUUUGGAAAGUACAAGUAAAUGGGUCAAGAAGCUAAAGCUAACUCAAAAGGUUAGCGUUCAUGAAUUAUAACACGGGGUCCUGAAGAGGUUCAGCCAUGUAGCAAGGAACCCCCAGGAGAUCCAGAGAGCAGCAGAUCUCCCUAUGCCCUCCAGCUCCUUUCAGGAGGACCCUAGCUAGCAUCAGUAGCAGCCUUUGUGUUCCUGUAACCUUUCUUCCCACUGCACAGCCUUAGGCAUUGCUUCCUUAGUCCAACCCUGCUUUGCUAGGGUAACAAGAAGUAAGAAUCCUAAAGGUUAAAGCUCAAACAAAACCAAGAGUUCCAACUGUUCACCAUCCAGCUUAGUGGUCAGAUUAUCUGACCCCUGGGUUGUGAUGUGAACUCAGGUGAACACCAAGAAUAAGAAGACAGUAUCUACAGACCCUGGAGGAGUUGGUGGCUCUUCUGCAGUCUGCUUUUACAUGUUCCCUUGUCUAGAUCUGCCAUGAAAUCUUGACUGUGGCUCUGUCUGCUCAGUUGUUCUAUCUCCCUAGCACCCAGUAAUAUCUAUAAAUAAUACUGAAAGUUAUAGAGCACAUCAUGGGGAUGAGUUCUUUUAUCUAAUUGCAAAAAUAGUGCACACCAUAUAAAAUAUCUGAGAAUCCUAGCUAAAGAAAACACAAAUCUCUUAUAAUACCACUGUUUACACAAACUUCUAUAACCAUUUGGCAUACAGGCCUCUGUGUACAGUGGAAAAGUCACUGACGUUGUAAAUCAUCACUUUAUGAGGUGAUCUUAAGAUAGAUCAUUAACGUGUUGUCAGUACACAACUUGGUGACAGUUCACUUUUAGAUGUUCAGGCUUCUAAGUAAGUGGCUCACAGUGUUUCACUAUCUUAAUAUAUGUGCCAUAUAUUACCAUUAAAUUUGUACAUACAUCCAAGGAGACCUGUGUCUAGCUGGCAAGAGAAGUAAGUAGGUAAUAAUAGGUGUGACACCAUAUAUGGCUGGUAAGGUUCCAUUUGUGUCAGAGUGAGCUUGGUAUUUUAAAUGUCACCUCAAUAGAUCUGGCCUGAUGUAAGGUAGUUAACUGAUCAACACCAUGCAUACCCUGUCUGCAGAUUUGUGAUUCUUCAUUAUGAACAAGUACCAGAGAAGAAAUAAGUCAGUCUGAGAAGUUAGCUGAGGACAUGUGAAAAUACUUGCAGCAAGUGUGAAAACAGUUUGGAUCCUCUGUACCCAUGGUAACUCUGGACAGGAAGAGCAGUGAACCUGUAAGUCCAUUGCUUAUGAAGCUCAGAUGGGGGUUCCCCUAGAGCAAACUGGCUGGGCAACUAGCCUAUGGUGAGCUCUAAGCUCAAUUGAAUGACCCUGCAUCAAUAAAUAAGGUGUAGACUGAUCAAGGAAAACAUCUGAUUUCAAAUUUGGUUCCAAUGUGCAUGUAUACACAUGAACACUUACAGAUACCUUCAUGUAUGUGCAAUUGUGUAAGAUACAAGUCUCAGAAAUGUAUACCCAUACAUAGUUGAGUGCCCCCUUAACCUAUGUAUACCAUUCAGAUAUUCAUGAGAAGAAAAAAAUUACAUAGUUUAGACUUUUGUCUGUUUUUUGUUUCUUGAUUUCCUACAUUGACUUGAUUUUUAAGUUUUUUUUUUUUUUUUUUUUUUUUUUUGUAAAUAGCAUAGUUCUUUUAAACAGUGUCUGUUGUAUUAUCUGGUAAAUAAAAUAAAUAUUUCUGCUGGGCGUUGUGGUGCACACCUUUAAUCCCAGCACUCAGGAGGCAGAGGCAGGAGGAUUUCUGAGUUCGAGGCCAGCCUGGUCUACAAAGUGAGUUCCAGGACUGCCUUCAGCUCUUAGGUUGUGUUCCUUUUGCUUUAUCACCCCCUUGUAGCAAGGAUUCUAGGCUCCUGUCAUGACCCCGGUCGUGGACUGUGGCUCAUUCCAAACUGAUAGCUACUGCACACACAAGUCCUGUUCCUUGUCCAUGGUCAUCUGAAGUGAGGGUGAGCCUGGAGAGGCUGCAUUCCUCACCCUUCCACUGCAGGGAUGCCCAGUGCUGCAGACACAGAAAUGUGUCAGAGACUUUUCCCUUUUCCUUUUAAUAGUAACAACAACAACAACAACAACAACAACAACAACAACAAUCCCCAAAGCAAAUCCAACCCAGACCUGGGAAUCAGAAGAAACAUGGGUUCUAGGUUUGUCUUCUCUACUUAAUAACUGAGCAUUGAUGGACCAGUUCUUAAGCUUAAUGUUCUCAUAUUUAAAAAUGGAAUCAGAUAUUAGGGCACUACUUUUUUCUUAUCAAGUAUUGUAUUCAAAUUUCAUCAGACAUACAUUUAAAUAAACCAUUUUUAGUAUCAGAGAAUAAUGAUUACUCUUACCAUAGCUAGUUCUACCAAAACUGUUACAAACACUCAUUAUGAAGUGUGAAGUUUGAUAUCCAUGUUAAAACUCACCCUUUGCAGUUUGCCCCAUCAUGGAAAACAGAGUUCAUGUUCGUUCAUGUUAUACUUAGCCAAGAUAAAAAGCCUUUAUUUGAAAGUUUUCUUCCUUGCGGUGUUAGGUCUGUCCUUCCUCCCUCUCUCCAGCAAGCCCUGCCGAGUGCACAAGAACCACAGCUUACUUGUUUGGGUAUCUGAACUCCUGUCUUCAUACUAUGCAGCAAGGCACUUCCACUGGGACAUCUCUUCAGCCCAGGUUACAUUGCUCUUAAGUUUUCUUUUGGCCCAGGUGUAGAAUCAUAUUGCUCUUUCCAGUCACCUGUCCUUUUCAAAUGCCACUGUUUUAUGUCUUGUUCCUUACUUAAAAACUACUCAGUUUUUGAAAUUAUAAUAACAUCACUUGCCCUUUCUCCUUUUUCCCUCCAAACCUUCCCGUUUAGCCUGCCUCGCUCUUUCAAAUUCAUAGCUUCUGUUUUCAUUAAUUGUAGUUAUAUGCAUACGUGUACAUGUUUAAGGAAUCUUUCAGGAUUCUUAGAGUGGACCUUCUAAUAGUCCCCAUGAUGAUACCAUCAGUUUUAUAAAAGGUUCAGGUUAAAUUGACUUAUAAAAAUCAUGCCAUAUGUUCCUGUUCAGUGUAGGGUAACUCUGCUCAGCCUGUGUUUAUCUCAGCGGGUAUAUUUGUAGUAGUAAAAUAGGUGAGCUAGAGAGCUGACAGUCAAAGGUAGCAGAUGACUCUAAGAGCAUUAGCUAAAGCAUUAAACCUCAGCAGGGUGAGGACACAAGGCUAUGUAAAUUUGAACCUGACAACUAUAAAUUAGGGUACAGAAAACAAUAAAACCUGUCUUUACAGACUUACGGUGCCUUUUCACUGUCAAACAGAAGGGACAGUGGCAGGAUUAGCUUCAGCUUUCACAUUUUGAAUUUUACGUGUCUCACAGGGAAAGCCUCAGUUGGGAUACUUGCUAUUCCUAACUGCUUUUAAAAUCUAGGCAUUUGUCUUAUGUUCUCAUGGGGAUGACCCAAACUCAGAGAGGUUAAUUUGCCAUGGGAAGACCAUUUUUAAAGCAAAUAGGUCUCUAGCUAUUUUAAGAGUAUGUUUGCCAACUGUGCACUUUGUUAGCCCAGUGAACAUGCGUCGUAAGGGAAUUUUUAAGAAUAGUAGGAAUCCAUUUGGUAUUGGAUAACCAGUUGGUGUGCUUUUCCCUGGGGAAGACUAUUUCUCCCAGUCUCAGCAUUUCUGAGUUGCUUGUGGUUCUUUGGUAGGGCUGAGGUCUCAGCAUGUGUAUUGCUGUCCCUACUCGUCUUAUGUUUAGGCAGUCCUGUUGGGGAGACGUUAUGAGUAUAGCUCUUGACAUUCAUAGAUUAAUGAAAAACAGAAAGAGGCCUUGAGUUUGAAAGAGUACAAGGAGGUAUAUGUAUGGGAGGGUUUGGAGGGCAGAAAGGGAAGAGGGAAAUAGUAUAGUUAUAAUCUCAAAAAAAAAAACAAAAUAAAUAAUUAAAAAAGAUUAGUGGGAAUAUUUUUUAAAACUAAUUAAUUUAUUUUUUUAUUUACAUCCUGACUACAGUUUCCCCUCCCUCCUUUCCUGCAGUCCUUCCCCUAAUGGGAGUCUUUUGCAAAUUGGCCUGCACAGUGUCAGAAACAUUUAGCUUACUCUGGGUAAAUCAUAAUGAUAUAUUUAACUUACAUACAUACCCGUAUAUCUUAACUUUCUUGUUGCAUUUAGUUUUAGGUGAGAUAUUCAGGUUGACCUCAUUGGUCUUGCUCUACCCCAUUUCCUUGCCAAAAUACUGCACCUCCUGGCAGCUCACAGGCCUGCCUCCUUUUCAGUAGCAUGGGCAUUUCAUUUCAUCCUGGAGACUCAUGAGUGUACCCUUGCUCAUCUUUAUUCUUGCUCAGCCCCUACUUAGAGGAGUGGAGAGGUAAUGUCACUGCAGCACUGGCUGCUGAAGGGAAUGUACAUGAGGAGGCUACAGGAGGCAGCCAUUGCUGUGUGACAGUAAAGGGUUCUGUAGCUUGAAAGGAAAAAGAAUUGGUAAACGUGUCUAUGUAAAUUACGCCCCCAUUCUGGGUUAAUUCUAUUAAGUCAAGUAGAGAUGAGUUAGACGUUGAGCAGAGUUGAAGCAGCAUGUUGGGAUGUUUUAAGGGAGUGGGUUUUGGUGGUGUCUAGCUUUCUUCCAUUUGUCUGUCUAUGGAGAACACUCUUUGCUCAUUGUAUGCUCUACAAAUGAGAUUAGUUUUGGCACUGGGAAAGCCAAAUUAUCAUGGAUUUCUACAAUUACAAUCUUAUCAGAUUCACCAAAAUUGGGGAAAGGAAGCUCGGAGCCAAAGCCAGGGUCUUAGUGUUGGAGAGAUCUGCUUUGUGUGCUAGCUCAGUGUGUCAGUCCUGUAAAUCUUGAGUGGGUGACUCACUGCUGCCUUGGUUUCCUCAGGGGAAGAGCUUGUUUUCACAGGCAGAGUGCUGAUGGUUACCGAGUCUUUUCUUUCUGAAUGAAGAACAUUUGGAUAUGACUGUCCAGUGUUUCUGGGGCUGGGGCUCCAGCUUUGCACGGGUUACUAAUUGUGAGAUCAUGUAGCAGAUUCCUUGCCGCGUGAGGGAGUGAGCAGGAUAGUAAUGCUCAGCUAGAGGUUCUCUUCAAGGUUGUAUUAAAGGUCGGCUGUGCCGGCUUUCCCUGAUCGUUCAUUCGGAGAACCGUCUCCUAGCUGUACAGCUUGUGUAUUUACUCUGCGUCUGCCCUCAGUUCCUCAGGGCUGUGGAGGUUUCUGUGGAUGGAAUGCCUGUUCUGCAAGCUCAGUGACGCUAGUUGAUUUCCUUUGUCCUUAGCUGCACCCAUUUCUAAUUCUAAAAGUACCAAUAGGAGAAGUAAGAUGUGGCUCUUUUUUUUUUUCCUUAGCAUCAUUUAUAACUCAUUAAAACUUAACUUAGCCUUUCGUUGGACAGUUAUUCCUAUUUAUCCAAAAAACUUUAAAUUUGGUGUUGGUGCUAAAUUGUUGAUUAUCGUGCAUUUCCAUUCUUGGCUUUGCUUGCUCGGAAAAUGAUUUUCAGCAGGUUGUCUAGCCUCUGCAGGUCUCAGGAUCUGUGCUGCUGCAGUGUGCUGCUGUAUGGAGAGGCACUGCCAGUGUGUCUGGCAGUUUACUAUAUGGUUUUCUAAAGGAGAUAGAGGUGGGUAGCAGAACUUGCCCACUCUGCUGGUGUAGGUUCUGAGAUGAAGACAGUACUGCAGAGCACACAAAUAAUUAAGCUUGAGGAUGAAAUCCUAGCACUUAAGAGGUAGAGGCAGAGGAUUAGUAAGUAGCUCAGGAUUUUCCUCUACUACAUAGUGAGCUGGAAGCUAGUUUGAGCUUCAUGAGUCCCUGCCUGCAUCGUCACUACCAUUUUUUAUGUGCAUAAGGUAAAUAGGAUGCAAGGGUUGAGUCCAUCAAAGAGCAAGCUAAAUAGGGGGCUCUACAGAGAUUUCUGGUGAACAAAAUGCUGUCUGAAGCUACAUAUUUAUUAUUUUUCUGUUUUUAUUGUUUUGAGAAUUUCGUAUCUGAGUACCGUACUUACAUUAUUUCUCCCCCUUUAAUAUCUCCAGUGUCUUCUUCAUGGCCCAUUUUCCUUUAGUUCUCUCUCUCUCUCUCUCUCUCUCUCUCUCUCUCUCUCUCUCUCUGUCUCUCUCUCUGUCUGUGUCUGUCUGUCUGUCUGUCUGUCUCUCUGUGUGUAGGAGCUUGUUACUGGGAAGACUGAUUUUCCUUCUCUCAGCAGUCAUUGCCUGUAAGUCUUUCUCUGGGGGUGGGGGUGGGGUGGGAGUCGGGGUGCGUGGAGCCUUGUGAGCUUUCCUGCAUCAUAUUGUCCUGUCAACUGGUGUGCUCAUUGUUCAGGCCUUUUCUAGGCAGCCAUAUUGUUGGGGUUUCACAGGGGCAGCUUCCUUUUCUCAUGUAGAAGAUACGAUCUUGCUGCAGAUGCUCUGGUCCUAUGGUUUUUAAAAUCUUUCCUUCUCCUUUUCCUCCUGAGCCUUAGGUGUAGGGGUUGUUUUGUAGAUGUAUCAGUUGGGACUGGACUUCGCAUGAUCUGUUUACUCUACAGUUUGACCAAGUUGGCUUUCUGUAAUGGUCUGUGUCUGCUGCCAAAAGAAUCUUUUCUCAUAAGGCGUGAGAGCUGCACUGCCUUGUGGGUAGAGUGCUGUUAGACCGUAGGCUGCUUUGGUAAUGUGGCCAUGGUCCGUUCUCCUCUACGUUCUAUGACUUCACCAACUGUAGGGGGUUGGGGGCUGUUCCCUUGGUAGCUUGCGUAACACCUUUCAGUAUUAUGAACGUUAGUCCUCAGGGAGAAGGCUUCCAGGUCAUGUCCAUCUCUGUUCCUCCGCGGCCUGUGCUUGGGAUGUAAGAUGUCUUCAGCAACAGGGAUUUACCUUUAGAUUCUGGGAGGCAGCCGAGGGUAGCAGCAGUAGCCUGUCUUGUUUUAGGAGACUCUUGACUGUCCUGAUCAAUACCUUGAAUGGAGGUUCUCAUGCCUGGGGGUUAUUGGAUAGUCUAUUGCACUUCAGAGUCAUUACCACCUCAAUCUCAAGCAGAAUAGCGCUCUCUCUCUCUCUCUCUCUCUCUCUCUCCCUCCCUCCCUCCCUCCCUCCCUCCUUUUUAUCUCCCCCCCUCCCUCCUUCUUAUCUCCCCCCCCUCCACCAUGUAAUUUUUUUUUUGUUAGAACACCAUGACUCCCUGUGGCUUUUUCAAACACCUCAGUGUCAUCUGUCUUCCCUCCUUUCCUUUCUCUCCCCUCCCCAGUUAAAGCCCCUUCCAGUGUUCUAUUCUCCCUUCUUUGCAGUAGUGUCUGGCCAUUUUCCUCCCUAGAGACACUUUAACCCCUUCUUGGGGUCCCAUUUUCCUUUCCUGUUUCUGUGGUGAUUCCUGGUUCUAAACUCACUUCUGAAGAUCCCAAGCUAGGAACCACAGCUACAAGAGGACACAUGGCAUUUGUCUUCCCGAUAAAUGCUGGUACGUGGCGGUACCUCACCCAGCACAGUAUUUUCUAGUUCCAUCCAUGUACCUGUAAUUUCAUGAUUUAAUUUUUCUAAACUUUUAAUAAAGAUCUUAUAAUAAGCAACUGUAAUGAAUGUGGUAAAAACUGAUGAGUGCUUCAUGAAGUGUAAGGAAGAAAAAUUUCUAACAUAUACCCAGGACUAUGAUUGACGUUCAGUCUUGCCAUGUGCUGGCAGUGCCUCACGAUUUUACUAAGACUUGCUUGAAAGCAGUAUUCUAACUUAAGGUGUCUGUAAGUAUAGCUCAAUGAGUUUCAGUUAUGGCAUAAAAAUAUUUUAAAAUCUGUAAUAGUUUAUUACAUUGAUCAUAUGUUGAAAUGACAAUAUAUUUUCUAAAUUAGGCUAAAGGAUACAUUAGAAAUGAAUUCCAAUAGAUUCUUUUUAUUUUUCUAAUCUUCUUUUAGAUGUGGAAAAUUGCAUGUGUAGUUUGCAUUUUAUUCCUAUUAGUACUACCCUUAUAUGUUGAACUUAAAAUGCAAGUUAAUUUCAUAAAAAUAAUACCACAGAAACAAAAUAGCUUUUGUGUAGUACCUCUUUCUAUUUCCUAGUGAUAACUGUAGUUAGUUUUCUGUGUCUUCCAGCCAUUUUCCAAAUAUUUUGUUCUUCUGCAGUACAUGGUAAAGAAUCAUCCUAAAGGGUGCUAGAUUUGAGAGAGAUUUCAGGGGCUGGGGAUUGCUUAGUGGAUAAACAUUAAUCAUGUAAGUGUGGGGACUAGAUUUUGAUUCCCAGAACCCACACAAAGCCUGGGGACCUUUUGGCCCCUUCUGUAACCCUAGGCCUCAGGAAGAGAUGAUGGGGGUAGGGGAGUGGGGAUUGGGGGCUCAAGGGGGGGGAAGUGCUGGCCAUAUAGACUAGCCACAAAGAUGAGGUCUGAGUUCAUUGAGAGACCCUGCUGCAGGAAAUAAAAUGGAGAGGGAUCAAGGAAGACACUCACUAUGAACCUUGGAUUGACACAUGCUUACAUCCCCAUGUGCACCAUACACAUGUGUGCACACAAUAUACAGAGAAAAAAAGAUUUUGCCUAUUUUGCCUAUAUAAAUACUUAUGCCUAUUUUGUCUGUUGUUCAUGCUAGCACAGUCCAUUUACUAAAUCUGUGUAUUUACAGAGGCACCGCCGACCCAGUGUCUAGCCUGGUGCGUGGGAGGCAUUGGUUAGUUCCCCUGGGCUUGUACACUCAUUCCUUCAGUGAUAACAGUGCCAUACGCGGAGUGUGGUGCUAAGUAACAUCUCAUACAUGAUCAAGAGUUUGGUCAAAAAAAAGUUUAAGUUUUUGCAACAUAAUGUUUGAAGUACCUUUUUUUUGUCUGUAUUUUGACCAGUUAUUCAUAUAAUUGCAGAUCUGGUUAAAGUGAGAUAGAUUGAAUUUAACUAACAGUAUUGUUGCGGUUAUGAUAUAAAGGAAGGAAUGGUAGCGUAAUCGUGGCAAAGUCAGUUUCUUUUAGUAGAAUGGUCUGUGCUCUGUCCUAAGUGUGGGAACACUGAGUAGCAGAGCGGCAGCUCCCACGGCUUGCCUUUUUCUGAUUCUAGAGUUAGGUUGUAAACUAUCUGGAGAGCGCUUAACUUGAACAUUUGUCUUUGAUUUCCUCCAUUAUCAUAAAAUGAAGUGACACAAUGUAGGCGUUGUCUUUGCCCACAUGCUCUGUGUCGUGCCUCAUAGCUGUCACCGUGAUGGUGAAGGCUUUUUGCAGCACCCUUGUGGAACCUUGUAGGUGCUCAGUAAAUGGUAUAUUGACACUUCUUCAUUUCUAUUACGUUGCGGCUUGUUAACUGUUACUACUUUCACCUUCAAGUGUGAAAGCUGUUGGCUCAUGAGGCUGUAUUGCUAGAUCCAGAUAGGAUAUGCGUUAUUGUUAUUGACAUAGCUCUUGUAAAGUAGAAAUGGGGAUAAGUAUUGCAUUUAUCUUCCAGGUCCCGUUUUACUUUUAAAUUCAGAAUUAUCUCUGCAGUCUGUUUAGGAAUAUUUAAAAAGUCCCCUUCAUAGCUCUGUUGUUUUAAGUAUUACUUCACUGAUUGCAGUACACCCUGUUCUUGUUCUUAAGCUUACUUUAAAAAUAUACUGUUGUUUGCAGAUGAGUGUUGUUGCUAGUGAGUACAGAUCACCCAUUCGUUGGUUUAGACUGGCGUAUUGAAGCAGUUUUGUUUGAGCGGGACUUUAGAGUAAGUGCUUGUCUUCGUAGAAGAUGUGGAGACAAGUCAUUUGGUCUGAACUUGGUACUUUAUUAACACUUUCACACACUUUAAAAAAAGAAGAAGAAGAAAAUGGACAUGUUGCCACAACUGAAAGAUCUUUUUUUCCAGAAUGUAUUUUACUGUAGCCUACCCAGGACUGUUUUUGCAGUAAUCUCCUCCCCCCCCCCCCCCCCCCCGGCACAGAUAUGUGAACUCCUAGUAAUUUAAAAAUUCUGAUAAAUGACACUUAAUGGCACGAUCCUGUGAAUAUUGAUAAGUACUAGAAAUUCAGUUGGUAAAGCUUCAAUUCCACUCCUGAGACCCUGUUUCUGAGUUUAGGUUAAAGGUUUGCCUGACUUCUGUAGUCUUUUUCUCAUGUCUCCUGAUAACUACGGUGAUUUCAAACUACAUUUUUCUUCUGCAUCAAAUCCAGGCAGCACUCUACAUCAUUAAAUAUUAAACCUUAUAUUCAAGAACAUUAUUCACUCAUUAAUAUUGCAUUGCAGCCUAAACUGCAUUGUUCAAAACAUUUUAGGAUGUUGUGCAAGUCUGUCAAAAUAUAUUAACAAACUUAGUCAUGUUGAACUGAACAAAAUAUGACAAAGUGUUUGCAUCACAGACGUGUCGUAGGUUUUUAUACGACCCAAGCAUUUUGUGUUGAGGUACUUGGAAAUUACUGUAAAGAUAAAGUGGAUUGCAGCAGAAGCCAGAUGGAAUGAAUAUUCAUCUUUCGUGUAGCAUCUGCUAUACAUCUUAAUGAAAUGUAUACUUAUUUUUAAUUUUUCUUCCUUGAUAAUUAUUUAUUUAGCAGAUUAUUUUAACUGGGACAUACAUAUGAGUUGGUGCCAUUUUAGCUUGGUGUAAGGUGAGAGUCUCACACUCAGGGAACACUUUUGAAAUCUCCAGAGUGUUCAUCAGCUGCAUGGAACCGAAAUGGGGCAGGCCUCCUUUGAAGGUGAAAUAGCCAGGGGACUUCUGAUAUUCGGCAAAGCAAGGAAGUGGCUGAGUUUAAGCCUUAGUCUUUGUGACAAAAUUUGUUCUGGAUUGCUGUGAACACAUCUGGUUUCUUGCUCUUCUUUAUACUGCUAGUUGUGGUGAGAAGCCAUAAGAUCCUCCUUCUGAAGGGAAUGGUGGGACCAUCUUUGUAUCUAAAAUCACUCCCUUUCCCAUUGUUACUGAAGGAAGUUAGGGCUCUUCCUAUUGCUUUACAGAGAAUUCCGGGGCUGGAAAGGGGAGACUAUUUAUAACUGAUGAGGGGAGGGGUUUUCAUAGAUGUGCUUUGGCGGUACUAAGCUUAGACGUUUUAUCUGAAAUGUGAUUCUAUUGAUUAUAUUAUUCUUCAGUGAUUAUUACCAUUUAAUGGGGGAGGUCAUUAUGAGAAUGGGGUUGCUUGUGAAAUAUCCAACAUUUAUUUUUUGAUGAAAUGUCGGUUAUGUGGAUCAGAAUUAAAACAGGCAGCCAAUGGGCUCAUCUUGAACACCUACAGCUGUCAUCUCAAGAAGGGUGGAAAUGGAUAUUGUGAAGUAAAUAAUGAAGGUGGCAUAGUGGAUUCCUGCUGGGCCAGAGCUAAAUUAUUCAUUUUGUUAGUUUAGCUAACAUGAUUCGUGCUGCGUGGGAUUUGAGUACUAUGUCAAUGACUAAUACUGCAUAAUUAAAAAGGCUCAGCUCCUCGGGCCUGGAAUGUAGUGGAAAUUUAGAAAUGAUUGUUAACAUCACAGAAACACACUUUGGUUUGUAUAAGUAGAUGGUGUUUACUUAGUCAUUCUGAAGUUUUUCAGAUGUAAGUGUGUGUGACACAUAGGCAGUGUGUCCCCACGAUAUUGUUAGUGCAGCUAUCUCCAGUCCCGUCCAGUCCCGUGGUUGGUCACACUCCACUGUGAUUUCUUCCUGAAAGGCUGCGGCGUAGCAAACGGUCCAUUUCAGAGGCCUGGUGAGCACAGUCUCCCUCGUGACAGCAUCACCAUUCCUUUUCUUCCCUAGGAGCUGUGUUGCUGAAGGGAAAGGGCAUUUGGAAAACUAAUUACUCAGUGUGGGGGACCACAUAUGCAUUAAUCUUUUCAAAGGCAACUUCAGCAUUUAUUUAUUAUAUUCUCAAUUUUGGUCAUUUUUGGGGCUAAACACAGAUAUAAACUGCUUUUAGUUUUUGUGUAAUGGUUCACACUAUAUCUUAUAGACACAGUAAUUUGACUAUACCUUUUGUUUUAUGCAUUUUUUUUCUUAGUGGGAUUUUUACAUACAGGGUUGUAUUAUGGAAUGGCUCUUUUUUUUUUUUUUAAGAUUUAUUUAUUAUUAUAUCUAAGUACACUGUAGCUGUCUUCAGAUGCACCAGAAGAGGGCAUUAGAUCUCAUUACGGAUGGUUGUGAGCCACCAUGUGGUUGCUGGGAUUUGAACUCAGGACCUUCGGAAGAGCAGUCGGUGCUCUUAACCACUGAGCCAUCUCUCCAGCCCAGGAAUGGCUCUUUUUUAACAGCCAUCUCAGCCUCAAGCAUCUAUGAAUGAAAAAGGGAGGCGAACACAUUAUUUGUCACCUGUUGCCAUGUGAUGUCAAUCACUGUGCUUGCCUCUGCAGUUGCAUGAGGAUAGAGUUAAAGUUCAGACCACAGGACAAUGCACUGAGAAAAUGCAUGCAGAUGGAAGGCUUUAGUUAUGGCCAUGAACAGCUAGCUGAAGCUAAACUUGGACUCAGAACUGAACAUGCUCUUAGAGUGUCCUAUUGGAGCAUUGGGUUUCAUACAGUUAAGAUCACAACACAGUGACCGCCAUUUGUUUUGAGUCAUAAAUCUUCAGUUUGAGUUCUGCCUCUUAUUUGCCUGUGUAAUUCUGAGCCAUUUGUUUAACUUUCCAUCUUUGUUUUCUUUGGGUCUGAAUUGGGAGUACAGCUCCCCUGAGGGAUUUUUAUGAGAAAUAAAUGAAAUUGUGUGUGUAAACGUGUUAAAAUAUGUGGGUGGCAUUAGAGGGUUCUUUGUAAGUAGCAGCUAUUAUAUUAGUAGACAGUGUUAUACAUGUAAAAAUGUACAUAAUAUGUAUGACUUACAAGUUUAAAAAAUCUCCCGUGCUACAGAGAACACAGUGAACAGAGUAGGGGGUGAAAGGACCACAGAGGUCUGGCGUCUUUUGUUAGAGUGCAUUUAAAUCAUGUUUUGUGAGAAGCUCAGAGCAAAGCCUGAAUGUUAAGCCUGCCUCCUGUAGGUUGAUUCCCUGUCUGCGUGCUGUAAUCUACACAUUAGACUUUAAAAACAAAACAAAACUUGAUUUGUACUAUAAUUCAGGCAACUUCUUUUUUUAUAAAGUCUUUGAUGUGAAUUCUGUAUAAUAAUUUUUAAUUCUUGAAGUACAUUUAUAGUUGAACUUUUGAGUCAGAGAUAGAAAUAUCAAGUGAGGAUAUAGUAUAAUUCCUGUAUCUGACAAUACUGUGUUGUAAACUAGGAUUUGUUAAGAGGUUAAACUAUAUGUUAAUUUUACACGCAGCAACAUUGGUAUUAAUAAUAAUAAUGGAGGAGUUAGAGAGAUGGCUCAGUGAUCAGAAGGUAUGCUGCUCCUGCAGAAGACCCACUCUUGGUUCCCAGCACUUAGGUCAGUUGGAUCACAAAUGCCUGUAACUCCAGCUGCAGGGGAUCCGACCCCUCCACAGGCACCUGCCCUCAAAUGCACAUACCCACAGAUAGGCGCAUGCACACAAUUAAAACUAAAUAAAUCUAAGAUAAUUAGGGUUGGAACGCUUUGGAAAAUGACAGUGAUGCUAAUGGCCGUGAUGGUAGCGUGGCUUCAUGGGUGUUUACUUAUUUCCAAAUUCAUAGAAAUGUUUAUAUUAAGUAAUGUGCAGCUCUUUUAUGUCGAUCACAUAUUAAGUGUCGUGGAGAAAGAGAAAUCCUGGUGAGGGAAUGCACUGGAGUUAUCCUCAAGAGGGUGUCAGCAAUUCCACUUCUUUCUUUUUAUCUGCAUACUUUCACCAUCUCUUUUCAUGUUUAAGGUGAAAAUUAAAAUAAAAUCCAGUAUAUGACUUGGUGUGGCAUUCAGAUCAAUUCAUUUUUAUUAGAAUUUGCUUUAUUUUUUUUUAAACAUGGUUUCAGAGGGACUACUAGAAAUAAAGUAUCUGCCAAGGAACAACUUGUUGGCUGAUGGAUAGUGUCAGGGAAGCCUGAAAAUUGACUGCUGUGGAGCAGUAGUGGGUGCCGGAGUUGUCGCUGUGCUUCCUCUGCGUGCCAAGGUGACUUUUACUAGAUGGGACAGUUGGCUUAGGGCCGGAUAGGCCUCGUCAGCACUUCUCACGUUUCCUGAGGGUGCGGAGUUAAGCAUUUGAGGCCAUCUUUCUUCAGAGGAGACUGAUGUGGAUUAGAGGCGCGUGUUUAACUAGUGAAUCAUGGGAUUGCACUGUGCCCGACGAUACAAAUUUGAUUCUUAAGAGGCUGCUUAUCCUUUGUUGAAGGGGAUUCAGGAUUAGUUUCGCAGUGUUCCUCUGGAGAGGGAUUGUCCUGUUUCCUUACACAGCUUCAUUAGACCUGCAGCUUUCCGUUGAUGGUCUGAAAGCCAUAUAGGUCUUUCCUUUCCUCACUUGGUUGUCCUGCAUCCUUAUGAUGUACCCCGCUGCUGCUCUGUCCCUGUGGAACAUUGCCUUUGUUUGAUUGUGGUCUACAGUUUGUUCUUUGUGUACACAGUGACUUCACAGUGCCUGUAAUACAUGGGGCCUGUGCUAGAGCACAAGUUUCUUUUUAGAAAAGUGUAGCCAAUCAAGAAAAGAUGAUAUACAAACACUAUUUUCAUAAGCAUUAGUUUUCAAUUUAGUCCACCCCCAUUGCCAGAUCAACCCAUCCAGUCUUUAUUGUGGUUUUAUUUUGUUUGAUUCAGGGUUUCAUUAUGUAGUUCAGGCUAUCUAUACUCAAGUUCCCUGUCCUCUUGCUUCUGCCUCUGCCUUCCACUUUUGGAAUCACGGGCUUGGGCCACCACAUCUGCCACCUGCACUCUAGCUUUUAAUUUAUUAACUUUAUUCUAAAGUUCUUUAAGUCACUCUUAAAAUGUAACGCUAUGAUUAAGACCUUUAAAAGUGGAAGGGUCCGUGGUCCAUUGGAGGUUUGUCACCAGUGUUGCUCAUUGUUGAACUGUUUUCUUUUCCCCCUUUCAUUUCCUGUCUCAUUUCCAAUAACAAUUUCUUCAAAAAGCCUGAGAGUGGGGUGAGCCAGUGGAUUUUUUUUUUGGUGUAGCAUAAGAAUACACAGAGGUGGACUCAGUUUUAAGGAUGCUCCUAAGAGUAUGUUUGGGGUCCAUCUCUGUCAACUAUUUAGGUGGGUGUGGUGUGGGGAGAUGGAAUGUGGAGACUUUCUCAGUUACAGGUCUGUUGGCUGAUCACACACUGCUGGCCACCCAAGGACAUGUUUCUUGGCUCUUCAGGUAUUUUCAGUGAGGGUGGUACAGAGGUGGGUCUCGGCCCAGAUGAAGUAGCAGAUGGAAAGAAGGAGAAGCCUCUUUGUCACAGACAGAAGGGGACAGCCCUCCUCAGCGGGAGCAGCUUCUUGCAGGAGGUCUCCACAGUAGCUCACAGGCCACCAUCUGUACAUUGGUACUUGUUGCCACUUGAUCAUGAGAUGCCACCAGCUUAAGAUGUAUCUUGAUUUCUUAUGUGCAUAUUGUGUGUGAUAAGAUAGCCUAAGUUCCAGAAGAAGACAAAGGAAGAGUUGGAAGAGAGGUGAUAAUUAAAUGACAGCUUUCUCUGAAGCCAAGGGCAGACUGGAGCCUGUAAAUUGAAAGGCUUCUUAUUUUUCUAGGCUGGAUUGAUGAGAAAAGAUGCACACGUAGUCAUAGAUUGUGACAAUUUUUAAAAUACAGAGAAAAAAAUUCUGAGGAUAAGAAGAAAAUUGUAGAAGUUUUAAGAUGGAAAGAAUAGAUAAUUUGUAAAGAAAACAGGAUCUGGGUACUAGGCUUUGCCUCUGCAGACCGGAAGCUGGAUGAUGUCCCAGCAGAAGGACCGAAAUCCUGGGGUUCUCUGAGAGUUUCCCUGUGAGGAAUUAGGGAAUGUAGUAAUACAAACAGCUGGUCCGUAGAAUCUAUGGAGACAAAGCAUACUGAUUAUUUUUACAGAGAAAUUUGAUGUAACGAUUAUUCAUGAGACAUUAAUAGUCAAAACAAAAGAAACAAAAUUUACCAGUCCUAAGGCAGUUCUGUUUACCAGAAUCAAAGUGAGCCACCUACCUACCUAUAUAGCUAACUUCCUAGUAACUGUCUAAAUUAUAAAUACAUCUCUAGGAAUGUUUCUAUUUUUUAGUGUAUCUCAAAUAUGCAAUCAAUAUAGCAUUCAUGGCAGAGGCAUGUUACAUCCUUUUCUUUCAUGUCAAGUCUUUGGAAUCUGGUGUAUGAGCUAUAGUCACUGCUUAAUUUGAACUAUUCUGGACUCACUGGCCUUGCCAGAGGACACAUAUGUGUCAUGCAAGACACAGAGCAUGAAGAGGUCCCCACCUCAGCCUAGGGAGCAAUGGAAGGAGGUGGAGCCUCUGAAGUGGGGGUACCUUCUGGUCGGUGGUCGUGUCUGAGGUGGUAGAAGGGAGGGUACUAGUGAUUUGAGGAGGGUACCAGUGGGUGGGACUAGUGACACUGGAGUGGCACCCAAGGAGCUUGGUCCUGCAAGGUUGAAUAAACUAACCUCUGCAUCCAGCUGGAUUGGAGCAAAGCCACCAGGCAGGUAUUCCUUCAGCCUUGCAGUUGCCCUCUGGCACUCCCUAAUGGAAACUCUACCAGCACCAACCAGCAAAUCACUAACAGUUUAGAAAGACCCAGUGUGAAGCAGGGUAUAGAUGACAGCUAGUAAGCUGAGAGUCACUGCUAAGCAACCAACAGCACAGUUCAUCUUGGAAGAAUAGUAAGAAAAGAAUGAAAGCUGAGACCCCUACCGAGAGGAAGAGAAGCACCUUGGUUCUUGACCGUUGAAGACAAACCUUUGAGGACCUAUAGUGGAGAAGUGCAUUUGAAACCACUCAACUCUUAACAGAAGGAUUGGUAGGAAAGGAAAAUAUCUGGUUUGCUGUCACCUGUUUUGCCAGUCUAGUACCUGCAUUUGUAAACUGUAGUGAAAACACUACUGGUGUUGAGAGUGGAGGCCAUUGAGGACCAGAGCAGAACAGCAAAGGGGCUUGUUGCUGUCCGGUGGAUGGCAGCCUGAUGGAACUAGGAACCAGGAGACAGAAAAGGAGACAGCAAACAAUACAGAGUAGAAGAAAACAGGUUGUUUCAGUUAUCAUGUUAGAGAUUGUGGCUGAGCAUUUCCCAUGUAGAGAUCAAGGCUGCUAUGCUACAUCAUGUUGACCCCUGUGUGUGGCAUGCACAGACAGACAGACAGAAGCACGUGUGCUCACAAACACACACUAGCUAUGUGUUAUUUAUACUGAAUGCAGUUAAGACCCAGUAAUUUGUUCCAAUCUUAAUAAAGGUUAAAAAUUAAUGGGUUAGCAAAGCUACAAACAAGGAAACAGGAGAAAGGUAAAAUCAAAGGUUUUUAGAGCAAAACAAAAGAAGCAGCCGAGUGACCUCAGGAGCAGUUUAUAAACAACAAUCAUUAGCCUUUUUGUGUCCCUCAUGUUAACUCAGUCUGCGAACCACAAAGUUAGAAAUCCAAAGAGCAGUUGAUUGAAAAAGGAGGGAAAGGGGUUGUACAGCUGUUCUUUCCCUACAGCACAGCUUGCUCUGUGCUGGCUAGAGGAGUGCGCAAUGCUUUGGUCUUCAACGUCUCCCACAGAGAAGGGUGGGCUUCGACUGUAUGAGUUUGCAGCCCACCCAUUCCACCUGCCAGCUCUUUAUCAGAGAGGCUUCUGCUUUGGAGGGUGAGAGGUUGUGUUUUAGUUCAGACUGGAGGUCUUUCAAAUAGAAACAAAGGGAGUAUUGACUGUGAUACCAAGACUUAGUGUGGCAGCUUUCACAUCGUACUUACCCUGGCAAAAUGUGUGUUUUGUGAAGAAAGAAAGAGAAGUACAAACAAUGAAAAAGGCAGAGUGUGUGUUUCAUAUACGUAGUGUAGUUAGCAUCUCUGAGAGCUUAGUGGGCUCUUUAUCAGAAGCUACUAGUGUUGGUCAGGAUGCUGCAUAGUCAUUUGCCCAUUGUUUACACUGCUCAUCUGUGUUGCAGCUGUACUGGAGGGCUUGAUGUUUGUCUAGGGAGGACUGUGAUAGGAAAGUGAUAUUCCCAGAGAUGAUUGUAUUUGCCCCAGUUCUCUUUCUCCAGCAUCAGCACAUACCCAGUGAGGAAGCUGCAGUAGGCAAGAUGCAAGGGAGCGGCAUCCAUGCAGUAAGCAAGCUGCUUAAUAGAGCUGAUUUAUAGGAGCAGGUUGUAUGUUUCUUCUCACAUCUUCUAUAACACUAGACUUUAGAAGUCAUGAUUCUGGGCAGUUUAAUGCUGUCUUUAUCUGCUCUGCAAUUAUCCAUCUGUAUUUUGACUAUUACGACAAUCAGUGUAUACUUUAAGCUAAAGUCAUGAUCAUGACUGAAGAUGCCUGUAAAUAAAUAUUCAUUUCAAGCUAGAAAAAGAAGUGGCUCUGGGUCAUUCUAGUACAGCAGUUUCCAGAGGACCCUUUCAUACAAUUCCUCAUGUGUGGUGACCCCAACCAUAAAAUUGUUUUGUUGCUACUUCAUAAUUAUAAUUUUCUGUUAUGAAUUAUAAUGUAAAUAUCUGGCAUGUAGGAUAUCUUUUGAUAGUGAACCCCAAAGGGGUCACGACCCACUCAUUGAGAACCACUGCUCUAGUAGAAGACAAAAGGGCUUUCGGUUGUGAUGGACCUUCGUCUUGUAUAAGAGCUUGGCUGUGAAUGGUGAGCAAAGAUGGGUGCAGUGGCUGGGUCCUGUGUUUGGUGACAAUACCUUGUGCCCUAAGAGCAGAAUACUUUCUAAAUAUAAAUGCAAAUAUUGUGCUUCUCAGCAGAGUAGAUAUUUGAAUUUAAGACGCUCCCAGGAGCUGCAGAGCAGGUGGCUCUUUCUUCCCAAAUGAAAACUGAAAUAGGGAGUUCAGGUAACAUAAUGCAUCCUGUUUUAUGGGAGGCAGCCAUCUGGAAGGGAGGCAUGGUAAGUGCUCAGAGGGUGGCCACAGAGAACUUCAGUUACAGGUGUCAGCGUCUAGUUGGGGGCAGAGUUUCCUGUGUUUUUGUUUUUGCAUCAUUUUGGAGCUAAGCUGGCAAAUGUCCAGCUUUGUGCAAGUUAAAAUAAAAUAACUUAAAAAAAAAAAGAAUAUUCUUGUGAAAAGUAAGGUGCACUAGUCAGCCCUCCAUUGUACUCUAGGAGCCUGAGGCCACAGCUGGUAAGACUCAGAACUUUGGAGGAGCCAGCCCAUGACUGGUUAGCCAUGUUGCUUUGGGGAGACAGCACAGCAUGAUGGGAUUGUGACCAAAAAGAGCUCUUCACUAAUCAUGGACCAGGAAGGCAGAGAGAGGGAAGAAGCGGCAUGUCCUAGUCCCCAUUUGAGGACAUGUUCCACAGUGAUCUCCAGGACUGUCCCUAGGUUCUGCCUCUUAGAGUUUCUGUCAACUGGGAACAGUGUGUGGAGACUUAAGCUUUUACUCUAAGGGCCUUUGGAGACGUGUAAGAUCCAACUUUAACAGAAAGAAACUUGGAUUGUCAAGUCACAGUGCUGUUUGAAAUAAUACAUCGAGACAGAGGACCAGAUAGAUGUCUUCAUCUUCUUGGUUUCUCUAGAACCAGGUCUCAGUGCUGCUAGAUCUAUCAGUUGGUUUUUAAGACUGUCUCUCUGACUCUGUUUUUCUCUGUCUCUCUGUCUCUCUAUCUCUGUUUCUUUCACACUUACUCACUCACUCUCACUGUAAGUUUUGGUUUGAUACAGUUUCUUCUUUCAUUGGAAAUAUGACAGUCUGCUCAGGGUUGUCAUGAAAGUUGGAAGGCUCACCCCUACAAGUGUGAUCUGUACCCGACACAUGCUAAGCAGGAUAAAAUGCCACUUCUGUCUGUCACACAUACAGAUAUUAUAUAUGAACUUAGCAGAGCUAUAUUAAUGUGCAUUCAUCUACAUGUAUGUGUUUUGGGAUAUUAAUCCAUACACAUUUCCUUCCAGGAUUUGAAAUGGUUUGAGUUGAAUGCUAAGCUUGUAUAAUUUUUUAUUUGUAAAGUCUUAUAAAUGGAAAACUAUACGCCUGUUCUGUCAUUAUUUUUAAUAGUCUAAUAAUUAGUUCAUUGAACUACCUAGCUCAGCUUUUCUGUCUAAAGGUGGAUGGUAAACAGAAUUUUCAGUGCUAGUUCAGCAUGUUCUAACAAAAUAUGAUACAUUAAAAUGAAAUUUAUCCUUACUAUUAAAAGUGACCUGUGGGUUGCCGCCAUGCGUUUCUUUCUGUGCUUCAGUCUUUUGGAGUCAGCCACAUUGCAGUGUUUUGUAGAUCUUGUCUGUGUGUAAUGGUCGGAGUUCAAUUUUAGAUAAGUCAUUCAGUCAGUUUAUCUCUAACAAUUAACAUUUUCCCACUUAUUCUCACCCAUUAUCUGAGGCUCUUAUCUACUUUCUCCAGAAGUAGAAUGGCUUUAUAUAUUAAAUUAUAAAGUAAUUUGCUAAGCUGGAGUUGUAUAGAAUUACUUAGUGUCUACCUGUAUACAACAAGUUUGACUAUUUGGGAAUGACCAAAUGAGCAAGAUUCAGUGGUAUCAAGAGUCAGACCACAUUGGACAACCAGUGACAUAUAUUUGAUGUUGGAAAAACAUAUAAGAGCGUGUCUUAAAGUAACUCUGAACCACGGGGGAGGUGCUACAAUACAAAUAAUUUCAGUUGGGAGCUGGUGUGCACCUCCUCUCCCCCUAGCCUAGGACCUCAGCUUGGUAGGCAAACACCCUUGAUUCUCUGGGGUCUGUUCCAACCUUGUCUACUUCUCGUUUUGAGCAAGGUCUCUCUAAAUUCAAAGCCUGACUUUGAACUUUUAUUCUGUGACCCAGGCAAGGCCUUGAGCUUUAUACUCUUGAGCCCCUACACCUCAGUGGCUGGGGUUACAGGUGCAUACCCAGGCUCCAGGAGGGAGAGAGCUUUCCAGGGGGUUUAAGAAACAUGGCUUUGUAAAUCGGGCCAUUGUGUUUCUUUUCCUCUGGUGUAUUCCUUGAGUUUUUCUUUUGUUCAAAGUGGAGGGAAUAAUGCUUUUCUUCAUGGAGUGUGAUGGAAUUUGAUAUAUAAAAAAUGCUUAGCUAAAGUUAUUUUUAAAAUCCCCUUUCCACUUCCUUAAAACCUUUAACUUCUUGAGAAGGCAAUAAAGCUGGGUGAUUUUACCCUAGUAUCAUGUUAUAGAGAACUGGAUUUUUAUACCAGAUAUGUGAGUUGAAUGUAAUGAGUAAUUUUUUUUUUUGAUUUUACUUAAAACGGACAUUCAAUAAUAUUCAUUAUAAGAGACUUGACUGGUGUUUAGAAACUCAUUUUGCUGGUCUAUCUUAAGUCUCUCACCUGAUUGAGAAUAUGCAAAGAAAAGAACUAAGUUGCUGGGGCUGGAGGUGUAGGGCAGCACCAACUGGUAUUUGUUUCAUUAAGCUCAGGCAAGCUAUCCAAUUACUUAAUGCAAAUAGGAAAAGUUUACACUAAACUCCUACUUCUUUGCUGAAAACUCUAGAGAAUUCAAAUGAGGAGAGAUAUGUAUUUAAAAGAAGGAAAUUUAAAUGAAACUUAAAUCAGGGGCUUAAUGUAGAAUAAUAUUAGACCAGGAGAUCUGAAGUAAUAAGUGAGAAAUGCCAGUAAAUAAAAGGGGGCUGUAUUUGCUCAGAUGCUUGUUCUGUUUAGUUUUGUUUUGAGAUAAUUCUUAAAUCAUCAGAGACCCAAGUUAUAAAGAAAGCCUCAUUUUUAUCCCACCAACGGGCGAGUAAUGUGCCGCCUUGCCUUGCCUUGCCUUGCCUUGCCUUGCCUUGCCUUGCCUUGCCUUGCCUUGCCUUGCCUUGCCUUGCCUUGCCUUGCCUUGCCUUGCCUUGCCAACGUGGACUUGACUCUUCUGAGAGUUUGUGGCACAGCAGCGCUUCUCUCUGACCCUACAGUUCCAUGUGGCUUUGGUGUUCCCAGAUAUCCAGUUGGGUUGUCUUCCUGGGGACGGGGUGGGCAGAGAAGAGGUUGUGGGACAACUGCCUUUCUAGUGGUCACUGAAGUGUGUGUGUGUGCGCGCGCCCAUGUGUGCUCUGUGUGUGUGUGUAUUGCAGGGUGGUGGAGAGGCGAUAGAAGACAAGGGGGCAGAGAAGAUGCUCCACAGAGACGUGGGCUCACAGAGAAGCAGGCGCUUCUAAACAUGUUAGUAGCUUUUCUUUGUAAAGUGUUGUACUUUGUGACAUGAUUUAAAUGAGUGAGUGAAAGAGGGCUUUUAUCUGAGGAAGGAAAGGGUGUCAAUGAAAGGUUUUGGUGGAAGGUUUGAGAAAGGGCCCACAGAAAUUAAACUCUUCCAAUAUGGUGCCAUCACUUCUAAAGGUAUACCAUUUAUCUGAAAUUCCGCCUUUUAAAAUAAUUUGAAAUGGCCGGACAGUGGUGGUACACUCCUUUAAUCCCAGCACUUUGGAGGCAGAGGCAGGUGGAUUUUUGAGUUCAAAGCCAGCCUGGUCUACAAAGUGAGUUCUAGAACAGCCAAGGCUACAUAGAGAAAUCCUGUCUUGAAAAAAUAAAAACAAGCAAACAAACAAACAAAAAAAUGAAAUAAAACAGUCUUUGCAGAGGUGAUUUUAAAUGUGUGUGACAUUCUGAAGGCUGUCACCGAAGUGCAAUUGAAGGAAAUUCUUUCUGAGUGUUUCUCAGCCCCUUGAUGUUCCUAUGCCUCAGUCACGUUACUUCCCUCACCCAUGUGGCACUAUAGCAACCUUAUUUAAAAAAAUACCUCAAACAAAAAAUUAUCAUUUAUCAUUAAGCUACAUAAAGGCAGAGACCGUGGUUCCUACUUCAUUCUCAGAGUUUGGAGCACUCUCUCUCACUCAAUGAUUAUCGAAUGAAUUAGUGAAUAUAACAUUUACUUUUUACCUUAUGUUAUAUACUAGAACUCAGAAUCCUAGAAGAAAUUAUCUACUAAAUGGAAAUGAUAAUAUUAUAACAUUUAGAGCAAAUACCUUCCUUUCAUUUAUCCCCUUUAAGAUAAAUGGAGAAUAAUAUAUUAAGACAUGGUGUUUGCAAGCAUUUACCUGUAUGGGAUUCCCUUUUACUUUAAAGCCAAGAAAAUGGAUCUUUGUUAGAUGACCCUACCCAAACAUUCGUAGACCAUGAGGGUCUGGGUCCCACUGCCAGCUGCCCUAAGUGUACAAAGAAGGCUUUCCUAAGCACUCGGUGCACAACACAGGCAUUUCCCCAUGCAGUUCUCAUUGUAAGAAGAAGCAAACGUAAGACAUGUAUUAGGAUAGAAAAGUGAUUAUUCUUGUAGCUAGUUUGAACCAGUCUGUCUUGAAUCUCUAAGAUUCAAAGAGCUAUAAGUUGAUGUUCCCAGAUGUUGACCCCCUUCUCCUGUAGGCCAUUUAGUGUAGCCUGGAUAUGCCAGGCAUGCACUGAGUACAGUGUGUUGGUGAGACCUUUUAGGGUGCAGCUUGUUUUCUCAGCUGCUUCUUUUAUCUCCAAGUCUUUUGUUUUCUGUAGCAUUUGGUUCAUUUUUAUCUGUGGUAGGAUUUGCCAGCCAUUCAUUCAUUUCACAUACAUUUAACAAAUGUUUGAGCAUCUACUCUGGACCAGGCAGCUGUAAGAUAUGAUAGCCACAGAAAUAGACAGACCAAGCCCUUCCUGUUUUUGAGCUUACAGGAAAGUUAGAAUGAAUCCUUUGAAAAAGCAGGACUCCCCAGCCACAAACCCUUUGAUCUACAAUCUAUCCUGCCUGCAAGAUGUGCUGGGGCCAUGAAGGUACAGAACUUGUGGGAGUGGCCAGUGAGUGAAUGACUGGUCUAAGUUGAGAUACAUUCCACAAAAGGAAAGCCAAUGCCCAACACUGUCUUUAUGACCGAGAAAAGGAGUCUCAGAGACCUGUGUUACGAAAAA
Mus musculus (house mouse) is the source of this 36545-nucleotide long non-coding RNA. RefSeq annotates it as predicted gene, 53279. The transcript is spliced from 2 exons. The record is from RefSeq and is a predicted model, not a curated record. NCBI's taxonomy places the organism in Eukaryota, Metazoa, Chordata, Mammalia, Rodentia, Muridae.